GACGAACGCUGGCGGCGUGCUUAACACAUGCAAGUCGAACGGAAAGGCCCUGCUUUUGUGGGGUGCUCGAGUGGCGAACGGGUGAGUAACACGUGAGUAACCUGCCCUUGACUUUGGGAUAACUUCAGGAAACUGGGGCUAAUACCGGAUAGGAGCUCCUGCUGCAUGGUGGGGGUUGGAAAGUUUCGGCGGUUGGGGAUGGACUCGCGGCUUAUCAGCUUGUUGGUGGGGUAGUGGCUUACCAAGGCUUUGACGGGUAGCCGGCCUGAGAGGGUGACCGGCCACAUUGGGACUGAGAUACGGCCCAGACUCCUACGGGAGGCAGCAGUGGGGAAUAUUGCACAAUGGGCGGAAGCCUGAUGCAGCAACGCCGCGUGCGGGAUGACGGCCUUCGGGUUGUAAACCGCUUUCGCCUGUGACGAAGCGUGAGUGACGGUAAUGGGUAAAGAAGCACCGGCUAACUACGUGCCAGCAGCCGCGGUGAUACGUAGGGUGCGAGCGUUGUCCGGAUUUAUUGGGCGUAAAGGGCUCGUAGGUGGUUGAUCGCGUCGGAAGUGUAAUCUUGGGGCUUAACCCUGAGCGUGCUUUCGAUACGGGUUGACUUGAGGAAGGUAGGGGAGAAUGGAAUUCCUGGUGGAGCGGUGGAAUGCGCAGAUAUCAGGAGGAACACCAGUGGCGAAGGCGGUUCUCUGGGCCUUUCCUGACGCUGAGGAGCGAAAGCGUGGGGAGCGAACAGGCUUAGAUACCCUGGUAGUCCACGCUGUAAACGGUGGGUACUAGGUGUGGGGUCCAUUCCACGGGUUCCGUGCCGUAGCUAACGCUUUAAGUACCCCGCCUGGGGAGUACGGCCGCAAGGCUAAAACUCAAAGGAAUUGACGGGGCCCCGCACAAGCGGCGGAGCAUGCGGAUUAAUUCGAUGCAACGCGUAGAACCUUACCUGGGUUUGACAUGGAUCGGGAGUGCUCAGAGAUGGGUGUGCCUCUUUUGGGGUCGGUUCACAGGUGGUGCAUGGCUGUCGUCAGCUCGUGUCGUGAGAUGUUGGGUUAAGUCCCGCAACGAGCGCAACCCUUGUUCACUGUUGCCAGCACGUUAUGGUGGGGACUCAGUGGAGACCGCCGGGGUCAACUCGGAGGAAGGUGGGGAUGACGUCAAGUCAUCAUGCCCCUUGUGUCCAGGGCUUCACGCAUGCUACAAUGGCUGGUACAGAGAGUGGCGAGCCUGUGAGGGUGAGCGAAUCUCGGAAAGCCGGUCUCAGUUCGGAUCGGGGUCUGCAACUCGACCUCAUGAAGUCGGAGUCGCUAGUAAUCGCAGAUCAGCAACGCUGCGGUGAAUACGUUCCCGGG
Molecule: ribosomal RNA, 1343 nt
Filed under: uncultured bacterium
Lineage: Bacteria
Description: 16S ribosomal RNA
Rfam family: Bacterial small subunit ribosomal RNA
Source: RNAcentral